Molecule: ribosomal RNA, 592 nt
Filed under: uncultured Arthrobacter sp.
Lineage: Bacteria; Bacillati; Actinomycetota; Actinomycetes; Micrococcales; Micrococcaceae
Description: bacterial SSU rRNA
Rfam family: Bacterial small subunit ribosomal RNA
Source: RNAcentral
UCAGCUUGUUGGUGAGGUAAUGGCUCACCAAGGCGACGACGGGUAGCCGGCCUGAGAGGGUGACCGGCCACACUGGGACUGAGACACGGCCCAGACUCCUACGGGAGGCAGCAGUGGGGAAUAUUGCACAAUGGGCGAAAGCCUGAUGCAGCGACGCCGCGUGAGGGAUGACGGCCUUCGGGUUGUAAACCUCUUUCAGUAGGGAAGAAGCGAAAGUGACGGUACCUGCAGAAGAAGCGCCGGCUAACUACGUGCCAGCAGCCGCGGUAAUACGUAGGGCGCAAGCGUUAUCCGGAUUUAUUGGGCGUAAAGAGCUCGUAGGCGGUUUGUCGCGUCUGCCGUGAAAGUCCGAGGCUCAACCUCGGAUCUGCGGUGGGUACGGGCAGACUAGAGUGAUGUAGGGGAGACUGGAAUUCCUGGUGUAGCGGUGAAAUGCGCAGAUAUCAGGAGGAACACCGAUGGCGAAGGCAGGUCUCUGGGCCUUUACUGACGCUGAGGAGCGAAAGCAUGGGGAGCGAACAGGAUUAGAUACCCUGGUAGUCCAUGCCGUAAACGUUGGGCACUAGGUGUGGGGGACAUUCCACGUUCCGCG